Cyanistes caeruleus (blue tit) is the source of this 710-nucleotide long non-coding RNA. RefSeq lists it as uncharacterized. NCBI's taxonomy places the organism in Eukaryota, Metazoa, Chordata, Aves, Passeriformes, Paridae. The record is from RefSeq and is a predicted model, not a curated record.
GAUGCUGAUGCCAUUGAUAUAACCACCAUCAAAUUGGUGUCCUGCUUUAGGGGUGAGUGACAACAAAUGGUGCCUCUGUGAGGAGGGACUGAUGACAAUAAUGAUCUCUGGAGAGUGUGUCCCAGGAUAAACAAGAUCUUUCAAAAGCAACAUGAGUCUAUUAUCAAACAGGCUGAUGCAUGGUGCGUGAAAAGGGGAUGGUGAGUCCUAAUGCAGCCAGCAGAUGAGACAUCCCCCAUUCCUUGAGAUGGUAUGCAUCUAUGGCUACCAAUUGAUUUUGAUUAGAGAAUUUGAAGCUCUUGCUAAUUACAUGUAAAAUGAAUCUGGGGUAACUUGAGAAGAUCAUUCUUGGUGACAAGAGCAAAGGAUCAUUACACAGUGAUGCUUUCAAGGGGACAUGGAAGUUAUGAACUUUUUUCAGGAAGGUCUGAUUAUGUUUGUUUCUGGAUGAUGAUCCACACAAGAUAUUUUACUUUUAAUCAAUAAUUCCCUGUGGUUUUGACUCUUUUUUUCCCUACAGAUUUUAACACAGAGAAUUUGAACUUUAAUUGCAACUAGAUUAGUUUAAAGAAUUAAAUAGUGUUUACCUGACCUCACAAAUCCAUUCCUUAGCUGGUUUUGCUUCACUAAUAGAUUUGAAAUACUGUGGAUUUCAGUGAAGAAGUUAUCUAUUUAAUCUAUAUAUAUCUGUGUGCAUAAACAAAUUUACC